This is a long non-coding RNA of Mustela erminea (ermine), 1054 nucleotides long. RefSeq lists it as uncharacterized. The transcript is spliced from 3 exons. Lineage: Eukaryota; Metazoa; Chordata; Mammalia; Carnivora; Mustelidae. The record is from RefSeq and is a predicted model, not a curated record.
GAGGAAAGGCUGAGCAAAUCAGAGAUGACAAUGCUCCUAAUGCAUUUGGAGUGGAAAAUGUUGAUGCCGAAGAAAGGGGGCCCACCGUAUGGUUUUCCUAGGGCUCCACAGUCCCCAGGAAUGGUCUUGCAUCCGUAUUCCCCUGAGAAUUGUCGUGGGAGCCUGGCAUUGUGAACCAAACUGGCCCUCGGCUACAAUGAAUUUCCCUGAGAACCACCGGCAGCAUAGUUUGACUCCGGACAUUUGCUCACAGUUAAUUGACUCAGAUUUUGGCACUUCACAUAAACUGGGCCAAUCAGAGGCCCUUCUCUGGAAAUCUCGAGUUGAGAGUAUGAGAUGCUAGUGUCAGUCUAAAUCUGUCGCUCAGUAGAAGCGAUAAAGAGCUAUUUUAUUUUUUGCCAUGUGGAUCAGGGAUCAAAGAGAAGUAAAAAAGAAAAAGGAAAAAUGAGAACAAAUUGUCUUCAAAUAGUGGUUCAGAUUUGUUUUUGAGGCCUGGUUACAUUUCUGCCCUUGGGUUUGGGGAGAAAUAGUCAUAAUAUGUAUAGGUAUAUUUGUUUUAACUUUUACCUGUUCUAGCGGUUCUAUUAUGUAUAACCAAUGUAAUCCUAAUUGAUGUAGUGGACCAGAGUGAACAAAAAUAUUCUUAGAAUUACAUAAGUAGCCCAGUCUGACUGCAACAGGGGGCUUUGUAAUAGGAUAUGGCAGAGAGCUCUGCAUUCUAAGGAGGUGGUCUUGGGCUGCCUUUGCUCAGUGUAUAUCAGAGAGGAGAAAUGGAGCACAUUAAAGGGUUAAUCAUACUCUCGCACUGAAAGACUGUUUGAAUUGAGUAGAUAGAAGGUUUGGUAUUACCACUGGCCAAAUGCAGAACAUGGUCGGAAUUAAGAAAGCUUUUUUCAUGAAGACCUAGGAAAAGAAUAGCUAUGGAGAAAUAUAGAGGGGACCUGUGUUUAAUGACAGCUACAAAAUACACUCAGUGAUCAAGAAAUGAAAGCUUUAUUCUCAAUCUGGCAGAUCCAAAGGGAUGUGGCUAGAGAACUAAGCCAUAAAGGUUGCC